Molecule: ribosomal RNA, 567 nt
Filed under: Rhodotorula mucilaginosa
Lineage: Eukaryota; Fungi; Basidiomycota; Microbotryomycetes; Sporidiobolales; Sporidiobolaceae
Description: eukaryotic LSU rRNA
Rfam family: 5.8S ribosomal RNA (bases 155-308)
Source: RNAcentral
AGUGAAUAUAGGACGUCCAACUUAACUUGGAGUCCGAACUCUCACUUUCUAACCCUGUGCAUUUGUUUGGGAUAGUAACUCUCGCAAGAGGGCGAACUCCUAUUCACUUAUAAACACAAAGUCUAUGAAUGUAUUAAAUUUUAUAACAAAAUAAAACUUUCAACAACGGAUCUCUUGGCUCUCGCAUCGAUGAAGAACGCAGCGAAAUGCGAUAAGUAAUGUGAAUUGCAGAAUUCAGUGAAUCAUCGAAUCUUUGAACGCACCUUGCGCUCCAUGGUAUUCCGUGGAGCAUGCCUGUUUGAGUGUCAUGAAUACUUCAACCCUCCUCUUUCUUAAUGAUUGAAGAGGUGUUUGGUUUCUGAGCGCUGCUGGCCUUUAGGGUCUAGCUCGUUCGUAAUGCAUUAGCAUCCGCAAUCGAACUUCGGAUUGACUUGGCGUAAUAGACUAUUCGCUGAGGAAUUCUAGUCUUCGGACUAGAGCCGGGUUGGGUUAAAGGAAGCUUCUAAUCAGAAUGUCUACAUUUUAAGAUUAGAUCUCAAAUCAGGUAGGACUACCCGCUGAACUUAA